UGGGUUGUAAACUGCUUUUGGAAGGGAACAAAACGGGCCUGCGGGCCAACUUGAGUGUACCUUCAGAAUAAGCACCGGCUAACUCCGUGCCAGCAGCCGCGGUAAUACGGAGGGUGCAAGCGUUGUCCGGAUUUAUUGGGUUUAAAGGGUGCGUAGGCGGCUUAUUAAGUCAGGGGUGAAAGACUAUUGCUUAACAAUGGCAGUGCCUUUGAUACUGAUAGGCUUGAGUACAGCUGAGGCAGAUGGAACGGGUGGUGUAGCGGUGAAAUGCAUAGAUACCAUCCAGAACACCGAUUGCGAAGGCAGUCUGCUAAACUGUCACUGACGCUGAGGGACGAAAGCUAGGGGAGCGAAAGGGAUUAGAUACCCCUGUAGUCCUAGCCGUAAACGAUGGAUACUAGGCGUUGUCUGUAUCGACCCAGACUGUGCCGGAGCUAACGCGUUAAGUAUCCCGCCUGGGGAGUACGCACGCGAGACUGACACUCGAAGGAAUUGACGGGCGCCCGCACAAUCGGUGGAGCAUGUGGUUUAAUUCAAAGCAACGCACACAACCUUACCUGGGUUUGAACUGUACGGAAAAGGAUCAGAAAUGACUCCCCCUCUUCAGAGGUCCGUACAGACGUGCUGCAUGGCUGUCCUCACCUCGUGUCGUGAGAUGUUGGGUUAAGUCCCGCAACGAGCGCAACCCUUGUUCACAGU
RNAcentral lists this ribosomal RNA (699 nucleotides) under uncultured Trichodesmium sp. RNAcentral's name for it is "partial 16S ribosomal RNA". It matches the Rfam family "Bacterial small subunit ribosomal RNA", at positions 419 to 1115 of the family's 1533-position model. The record is from RNAcentral. Lineage: Bacteria; Bacillati; Cyanobacteriota; Cyanophyceae; Oscillatoriales; Microcoleaceae.